Molecule: long non-coding RNA, 273 nt
Filed under: Elaeis guineensis (African oil palm)
Lineage: Eukaryota; Viridiplantae; Streptophyta; Magnoliopsida; Arecales; Arecaceae
Description: long non-coding RNA (EGUI_LNC013896)
Source: RNAcentral
ACUAGUCUAUGGUAAAAAUAAGGAGGAUGGCACUUCCUGUUGUACACAAACUCUUUCUUUACUGGAGGAUUAUGGUAAAAAUAAAGAGGAGGAUAUCUCCUAUUUGUACAUAGACUCUCCUUUGAUUAGGGAGCUAUGUUAUGGUAUAGAGAGGAGGGCAUCAUUAGUCCUACAUUGGUUAUAAGUCAAGGAAGAUUUUAGCUUAUAUAGAAUUGGACUAUUCUUCUUAUGCGAGGCACUUUUUGAAGGACAAAAUCAUGAGACCUAUAGACC